GACGAACGCUGGCGGCGUGCUUAACACAUGCAAGUCGAACGGAAAGGCCCGGCUUUUGUGGGGUGCUCGAGUGGCGAACGGGAGAGUAACACGUGAGUAACCUGCCCUUGACUGGGGGCGAAAGUCAGGAAACUGGGGCUAAUACCGGAUAGGAGCUCGUGCUGCCUGGUGGGGGUUGGAAAGUUUCGGCGGUUGGGGAUGGACUCGCGGCGGAUCAGCUUGUUGGUGGGGUAGUGGCUUACCAAGGCUUUGACGGGUAGCCGGCCUGAGAGGGUGACCGGCCACAUUGGGACUGAGAUACGCCCCAGACUACUACGGGAGGCAGCAGUGGGGAAGAUUGCACAAUGGGCGGAAGCCGGGUGCAGCAACGCCGCGUGCGGGAUGACGGCCUUCGGGUUGUAAACCGCUUUCGCCUGUGACGAGGCGUGAGUGACGGUAAUGGGUAAAGAAGCACCGGCUAACUACGUG
This 468-nucleotide ribosomal RNA is filed under the name uncultured bacterium. Its description in RNAcentral is "partial 16S ribosomal RNA". It matches the Rfam family "Bacterial small subunit ribosomal RNA", at positions 28 to 507 of the family's 1533-position model. The record is from RNAcentral.